This is a long non-coding RNA of Oncorhynchus tshawytscha (Chinook salmon), 1322 nucleotides long. Lineage: Eukaryota; Metazoa; Chordata; Actinopteri; Salmoniformes; Salmonidae. The record is from Ensembl.
GGGGAGUUGUCCAGGGUCGCCAUCAUUAAUGGCUGAUAUCCCAGGCCUUGACCACACACUCUGAGGCUGUGUCUCAGGGGGAGUUGGGAUGUGCAAAAAAUAAAUUUCCAAUUCACAUGUGUAAUAAUACAGUCUUGUACAUGUGUGAAAUAGAAUAAAUAAACCCCCACCUAAUUAUUCUUAUUAAUAAGAUUGAAGAGCAACGGCACUUUGGUACACAGUCAAUAGGUUACAUAGCUGAGGGGAUGGAUACGAAGCAGAACAGUAGCUCUCUGCUUCCCCUCCUAUCAGAGAGAAUAAAUCAUUCCAACCACACUGAUAACAGAAAGCCUGUGGUCUUGCUCUCUGGUUUCAAACAAACCCCUCCAGUAUUCACAUAACGGACAGCUUUCUUCCAAAAUGAUAAUACACACAGAAAGUCCAGUUGUAUAAACUCUACUCUGAAUGUUUUGUAUUUUUAUAUAAAGGCCCAGUGCAGUCAAAAACGUGAAUUUCCUGUGUUUUACCAUCCAGUUUAAUAGGUACAACACCAUGUUCACAAAAGUGGAUCACAACGGCAGCAGACACAACGGGCAGCAGACACAAGGGGCAGCAGACACAACGGCAGCAGACACAACGGGCAGCAGACACAAGGGGCAGCAGACACAACGGCAGCAGACACAACGGGCAGCAGACACAACGGCAGCAGACACAACGGGCAGCAGACACAACGGCAGCAGACACAACGGGCAGCAGACACAAGGGGCAGCAGACACAACGGCAGCAGACACAACGGGCAGCAGACACAACGGGCAGCAGACACAACGGGCAGCAGACACAACGGGCAGCAGACACAACGGCAGCAGACACAACGGGCAGCAGACACAAGGGGCAGCAGACACAACGGCAGCAGACACAACGGGCAGCAGACACAACGGGCAGCAGACACAACGGGCAGCAGACACAACGGGCAGCAGACACAACGGCAGCAGACACAAGGGGCAGCAGACACAACGGGCAGCAGACACAACGGGCAGCAGACACAACGGCAGCAGACACAACGGGCAGCAGACACAACGGCAGCAGACACAACGGGCAGCAGACACAACGGGCAGCAGACACAACGGCAGCAGACACAAGGGGCAGCAGACACAACGGGCAGCAGACACAACGGCAGCAGACACAAGGGGCAGCAGACACAACGGCAGCAGACACAACGGGCAGCAGACACAACGGGCAGCAGACACAACGGGCAGCAGACACACGGGCAGCAGACACAACGGGCAGCAGACAACGGGCAGCAGACAACGGGCAGCAGACACAACGGGCAGCAGACACAAGGG